This 21-nucleotide unclassified non-coding RNA is filed under the name Dictyostelium discoideum. Lineage: Eukaryota; Evosea; Eumycetozoa; Dictyosteliales; Dictyosteliaceae. The record is from RNAcentral.
UAUACUUUGAGAGUUGAAGGU